This 14240-nucleotide long non-coding RNA is filed under the name Durio zibethinus. RNAcentral describes it as "long non-coding RNA (DZIB_LNC001793)". The record is from RNAcentral. Lineage: Eukaryota; Viridiplantae; Streptophyta; Magnoliopsida; Malvales; Malvaceae.
UUAUUAUUAAAACAGUAGACCCGGACAAAAUCGGUGUCUACAAUACUAGUCAUUUUGAUAUGCACAAUGAUUUUAAGUUCGUUAUGAACUUUAUGAUUUUUUCAAAUAAUGUUAAUCAAUCUGUUUUUCAAUUUCAUUUGUAUAGGAAUACAAAAGAGAGUUUUAGAGUUCAAAUAAGAGGCUGUUGUUGAUUCAUUUGUUGAUCUAAUUGAUAUGUAUGUGAUUAAAUUAGUAUUAUGUAUCAGAAUGCUAUGUAAGACAAUCCUUGUGCCCCGUCUCUUUGUUUUAUAUACCUGAUGGACCAAAUACAUAAUAUAUAGGAAAAUAUACCAUUAACGAAUUUUCAACUGUGGAUACAUGUCUAUCCUUACCAUACAGAAACAAAUGCUAUUAAUAAGCCAAUUAUGUUAUAUUAUAAAGCAGUUUUUUUUUUUUUUUUUUGUGGCUUUACACAUACCUUAGUUGCAAUAACUCCUCUUGCCCUGGUAGGUCUGAAGUUCAAAUGCUCUCCCACAAAUUAUUAACUAUUAAAAGAAGAUGCAAAUAUUUGGAUCUGCUUAAAAAAUUUGUGUUCAAAUGAUGCUCAAGUCAAAUUUAAUUUAACAAGUAUUCUAGAUUAUAGUUUCUGAUUUUUAUAAGGUUAUAUACUUGUUUCAUACUUAGGAUGGUGUUUUACGUUGUACUUAGGGGAUUCUUAUUAUAUUAUGUCGAGACCUUGUGGUAUAUGCCAAACAGGAUAAAAAUUUUGCUUGGUAGUCUCAAUUUGCUUUCGUUAUAUCUUUUGUAAGUUCAUAUUCUCGUGAUGUUAUUACUGAAAGGAUUAAAUGUUCCUUGCAGGCAUAUUGAAAUUUGAGAUUGUGGCUUUUUAAAUGAUAGGAAGGCGGCGCCUGGGAUUUCUGUUGGGUUAAGGAUGGAGAAUUGCAUGUUACCGUACCAGAAUUUAUUUGUUGAUUAUAUAGCUUUUUAUAUUGAUCUUAUUGAUUUGAUGGUGAAAUGGAAUGGGAUGAUAUAGUGACAGGCCAUGCAACAAUUAAGUAAUAGUUUUUGUGAUUGAUCCAUUGUCCCAUUUCUAUGUUGGUGUUUCUUUCUCUGAAACUCUUGGCUUGAAACUGGUGAUUACUUCAAUUUUGAACCUUUUCUUUCUGCAUUGUGAUAAUUAUUGGAUUUUGAAGUGCAAAUGCUAUCUAAAGUUGUUUGAUUCUCCUUUGAACUCACUGGCUGAAGAAGAGGAUGACACAUCAAAGACUCCUUCUCAGAAAAAGAAAAUGAAGAAGCAGAGGAAGGUGGAACGAGCUAAGAAAGUAUAUCAGCUUGUUUUGGUGAUUCUUGGCUAACACUCUCUUUGAUGAUUUCAUUCUGAUGCCGUGUAUUAUUUUAAGAGGCAGAGGAGAAAAAUGAAGAAUCAAGUUCUAGUGGCAUCUCUAAGUCUGGGAAACGACAUGUUAAACCUGUAGAUCCUUAUCCUUUUGGAGAAAAAUUAUUGAAGGUUACCUAUUAUUAUCUUUUCCCUGUGCUUUAGAUUCCUGAUUAAAGUCCUCGUGCUGUAAAAAUGUGUUACGCUAAUGCCUAUUAAGCUAAGACUGUUUAAUCUGUAUUUUUUUUUUCAGACAGAGUAUCCCUUGUCAGAAGCAACGAAGUACUUGAAUUUGCUUCAGAAGAACUCACCUGAUUCUUUGGAGACGCACUUACUUUCUGUUGAAGUAAAUAUGAGAAAGCAGAAGAUUUUGCUUGCCUUUCAGGUAUUAUAUUUUCCAAGAAUUGAACAUGAGAUGUGUUUCUUGUUCUUUUUGUGUUUGGUCAACUAGAACUGAUAUUUAAUUGUCAGCUAGUGAUUUGUGAGGAAGCCCCUUCUCUUGUUUUCUCCUCUCUUUUUUCACUUUCUGCCUGUGGAUAUGUUCUUGAAAUAAAGAAACUGUACCGUUUAACCAAACAUCCUUUUCUUAUUGCUCUACUCACUCAAUGAAUUUAUGUGUGAAUUAGAUAGUUUGCACGACAUAUCUUUGAGUUGUAGAACAAUGGUUUUGUGCAGUAGUACUUUUACUAUUUCAUGAGCUCAUAUUAGUACGUUUGUCUUGGUUUUAUUUUGUUUUCCUGAAGGCUGUAAAGCAACUGCUAAGGCUGGAUGCUGAGAAUCCAGAUUCACAUCGCUGCUUGGUAUGUAACAUCUGCCCUACCAUAUUUGUGCACUGCCAUGCACAACUGCAUUCUUUUCUGUUCUUAGAUACAAAGAUCAUGUAAUCUUUACAAUGCUUAUUUGAAUUUAAUCUAAUGCAGAUUAAAUUUUUCCAUAAAUUGGGCUCAAUGCCUGCUCCAUUAACUGAUGCUGAAAAACUUGUUUGGAGUGUCUUAGAAGCUGAGCGUCCAUCCAUCAGGUUCUCUUUGAAAUGGUUUUAUGAUAGCUAUUCCCCCUACUAGAAUUUUGUUGUGUUACUGUUACUAUUAUUAUUUUGAUCCCUGAUGCAUUAAAUCCCUUUAUUUUCUCUUUCCGCAGUCAAUUGCAGGAGAAAACUCUUAGUGAGGCGAACAAAGUUUUCCUUGGUAAACAUGAAGGAAGGUAUUACGACCUUUACAUAACAUGAUGCAUUUUAGGUUCCUUGAGGUAGGUUGUAUAAUCAUGCAAAUUUCACUUUUUGGUUCUGCAGAAUCUUUGAUGCAUAUAGUGGCAGUUGCAGAAAUGUUAUAUACCUUGGAGCAGACCAAGAAACUUGAGGCUGUUAAGUAGAGAAUUAGUUGGUGGAGGACAAAUUGGAAUGUGUGAGGAAUUUGGAGACCUUCUGAAGGUUUGAUUUCUACCAUCUUAAUUUUAUUUAAAUUUUUUUACUUCAAAUAAUGCCCGAUUUGAUUUUUUUCUAUUUUUUUCUGAUGAUAAAAUGUGUUCUCGUUAUAGACUGUAGAUAAUGAUAUUGCUAGUGUAAACUGUUUUAUUAUGUCUUAGCUGUUAGUCAUAUUAAUUUGAUUUUCUGUUUGGUAUUUUUUUUUAAUGAGCUCCAAAUGGUACCUUGGGAUGUUCUGUUCAUUAUAUUUACUCUGGAUUUCCUCUCUCUCUUAUUUAUAGAAUCACAUGAUGCAAAUCCAACGAAAACCUUACUUUUUUGUAGAGCUAUCAAGCUUUCUCCCCUUUUCUAGAGAGAGGAGGGGCGGCUAUUUUUACAAAUACUCUUGUAGGGAUCUUGUUUUUCUUGAUGGCUUGAUAAGAAAUUAUGUGACAAAAAUCUAGUGAUGUGGUUCUACAAUAGACACAGUCCAUUCGAUGGCUUGUGAUAUUCUUAAAUAAUCUAGAAAUAGAUAGUUGUGGUAUUAUGCUGAAAUACUUCAUUGAUGUCUUGAUGUGACAAUAGUAAGAACUCUAGGUGGUUAAAAUUAUGCUUUCAUAUGCUUCACCCCUAGAGAGUUGACAUGGUGGCUAAUUCUUUUAUUAGUGGCUAUCUUUAGCUCAUUCUUUUAGUUAAACUGACUUUCCUAUUUAAAAACCUUUUGACGAUGGGCCAGGUUAUGGCAUGAUUGAAAUAAAGUGUCAAACUCUAGAGCUUUUGGAAUUUGACUCAUGCAGUGAGGAUGUAUUUAAAUUGUUUUCUUCCUGUAACUCACAUUUGUAAUGUAUUCAUUCAUGAGAAUUGUAAUUAUUGCUGUUACAAUGUGCAUCAUUAUUGCCAAUAAAUGCUACUUCCUUUAUGAUGUGUGAUGAAUGUUCUAGGACUUAUAUUAAAACUUUGUUUUCUCAAUUUUUAGAGGAUACCACUUGAUUUACUGCAAGGAAACAAAUUUCGUAAAGCGGCAAUUGAUUGCAUUAAGCCUUUUCUAGCCUUUAUAUACAGGUGAGUGUUUUUUUUUUUUUUUUAUUAGUUUGAUUGGUGUUUUUUAGUUUGACUGGCUAUUGUUUCUUGAUCUUUUGGAGAAGUUCUUGGAAUUUUCUUGAAGCUGGGUCUAUGUGUAUAUUAUUUACUUCUCUUUGGUGACAGAGUCGGAUACUGAAACAUGUUGGUGAUUUGGUAGCUGUGGCUUCAUUGACAGAUGAAGCUAGGUGUAUGGAUCUUGCAGAUCGCUAUGUAAACAGUUAAUCUGUGAAGCGAAUGUUGCAGUCUGAUCAGGUUCUAAGGUUUCCCCACUUCAUCUUUUGUCAUAGUUAAUAUUUGUCACUAAAUUUCUUUCGGUAUUAUUGUACUGUUCACAAGCUUUUUCUACUUUUGAAGGUGGCUUUGGCAGGAAAAACUGCUGUUUUGUUCACGAAAGAUGGGGGCCAGCACAACAACCUUCAUGACAUGCAGUGCAUGUGGUAUGUUUUUGUUUAUUACCUUCCACAUGUUGUUGUCUCUAAUUAUAAUUUGGGUACACCUACUGAGUGUUAUCCAUCUUUUGAAGGUAUGAACUUGCUUCUGAUGAAAGUUACUUUCGACAUGGUGAUUUUGGACGGGCCCUAGAGAAAUUUAUAGCUGUGGAGAAGCACUAUGCUGAUAUUACUGAAGAUCAAUUUGAUUUCCAUUCUUAUUGUUUGCGGAAAAUGGCACCACGUGCAUAUGUUGGAAAGCUAAAAUUGAAAGAUUGGUUGCAUUCACAUGCUUAUUUUCACAAAGUAGCAGCUGGAGCCAUUAGGUGAACAUUUUUGUUAGGAUCUGCAGCCUUUUCAAUGAUUUGCAAUAGACUUAUUCUGUUUGGUUGUGGCCUGUACGUGUAAAAUGCUAUGCAAGCUCUGUUGUCUACUUGUCUGGGUGCUUUUAGCGUCUGUCACCUAUUGUUGAUCAACACAUGCAUGUGAUGCUUCCUUUUGGGUUAGAUUCCUCUUUGCCUCCCUCUUUUUCCCUUUGUCUUUUGGGGAAUGGGGGAUUAUUGCAUACAUAUAUGUUGCAUUAAUCAUAUGUUGCAAUGAUGUGUUGUCUGAACCUUGCUUUCAAAGCAUGAAAAACUUCCUAAAGGUAACUGUUGUUCAUUACUUACCCUUGUACAACUAUUCAUUUGUUAAUAAUUAGACACUCCCAUUAUGAUAUCCAAUCUAAUUGAAGACUCUUCUAGCAGCCCCUCCAUUAAUAGGAGAGGGGAUAUCAUAUCAAGAUUUCUGAUUCCCCUCUCCUACUCUAACUUUUCCUUGAAUCCUAGAUGAAAGGAUUUACAACAUUUUUGAAGACAAAACUUUGCUAAGUUUAUAGUCAAGAAAGUAUCAAGAGUCCUUUUCUUGCACUUGUUUUUGCUAGAGAAAAUUUUUUGAGUCAUAUGAGCAAAGCAGAAUAUAGGGUUCCAAGUUUUUUGUUGAUCAAGCAAGAACCUGAUUUGAAACGGGGAAUAAGGGAUUUGCAAUCCCCCGCCUUACUGGUUAGCCAUGUCACCAAAGGUUAGAAACCAAAAAGAAUGAGUGUAUCCCCUUUAUAACUUUAGUUAUAGAUUGGAUCCAUACCUUCAAUUAGUUAUAGUAUCUCAAAUAAAAAAAUUAGUAUUGUUCUUUUUUUCUUUCAAUAAAAAAAAUUCUUAAUUUGAUUUAUAUUAUAAUGUAAUAAUAUAACAACAAUUAUGAGUCUAGGUAAACCCCAUGAACGAAAGUUAUUGCACGGCAAAAAAUUCAAACCCACAAUGAAAAACACUUAGGUUUUUUGUUCUUUCAUCCUAUCUUAUGAAAAAUGAAUUUUUACGAGUAUCACAUUUGCAUUUUCAUUGAUUUAUGAAUGGUGAGUGUUUUUGAUUUCAUUUUGUGUCUUUGUCAUCUAUUGUCUUGCUUAUAAGUACUGAAAGUUAAGGUACCCAUUGCUGUACUAGUAGUCACAUCAUUUGAAGAUUUUAUAUUGGUUAAUGAGGUAAAUAAAAUAGAAUUAAUUUGCUAUUGGAAAAAUUACAAAUUCAUGCACAUGUUUAGCUCAAGAAUCAGAGAUUUAGUUAAAUAUAUGAACGGUUGAUUAGGAGACCUGUUGUGUAAUAUAAAAGAUUCUUGUACUGAGUGCUCAAAUGACAGUUAAGUCCUGAAAGUAGCCUCAUUUGUGUAAAAAAUGCUGAAUCCUAAAGGCUAGGAACAUUUUUCAAAUGACUCUUCUUGGUUUCUCAUCCUUCAUUGGCAGGAUUGAGGCUGAGUAAUGAUCCUUUUUAUGAGGGAAGAUUAUACAAAAGGCUGUUUAGAAAGCUUUCUCCAAAUUGCUAUAAAAACCAACCAUCAUAGCAAAACGGCAGUGUCUGUGUUUCUUCAUUUUUGGGUUCUUCCACACACUGAAAUAACCUUUGCAUAUUAACAGGAGCUGACCUCAACCUCUGGACCUUGUGAUCCUUUAUGUUGAGUUGAUGAAGCUAGCUCGUUAGAUUUCGAAGUUACUUAACAGCCAAAGACUAAUUUGUUGAAAACUAUUGGUGUUUUCACAGCAGCUUUAACAGGGACUGUGGCAAUUAACCUAUCAUGGGUUACCAACAUCCAGGUUUAUCUUUAAUUUCUUGUGCAAUCCUUUCUUUGUAGGUUGUAAUCAUUUUUUCAUCUUUGGCCAAUAUUUUGUAUAUUCUUGUAUUAUCCACAGAAGCCUUUCUUAAUUUGAUCUAAUUUCAUAAUGCAUAUUUCUAUGGCAUUGCUUUUUGUAAUAGGAUAUGCAGGCAUUAUCUUUGAAGAAUUUCUAGCCUUCAAUAAAAGUGGAAUAGAUUGUUGAUGGCUGUGAGUUUAUGGGUGGUAAGGAGCAUAGGGGUAAGAAUGAUUCUCAGGUGUUUAGGAUUGGACUGUGUUUUUCUGCUGUCCCUCUUCUUUUAAGCAUUAUCUUUGACAUGCAUUGUGGUUGAAUGCUUAAAAGGAAGAUUAUUUCUUUUUGCUGGAUUCUUUGAAAUUCUAAAUAUAUGUUGUCAUAGGCUCUCAGUUAGUGUCUUUCUCAUUGAGAUUGUGUCUUGAUUCUUCUUGUUUCAUUUUUAAACUUUUACAUAAAUUAGGGCUUUGUAACUUUACUUUGAAAAAUUCCCUUGGGUUGUGAUGUGAUGGUCUGUUUGAAACUUGAUGCGUUGUGUCGUCCAAGAAUGAAUUGCAGGGGAAUUAUGGAUUCUAAAUUUGUAUGGCUGUGUGUAGGAUUUAAGGAUUAAAAAUGUGUGGCUCUGUGUGUAUGGGAGUUUUCUUGUUUUUCUCUCUGUGGCAUGACAGAGAGAAAAACUUUUUAUUGUGGUUUCACUGGCUUGGCUUUUUUAGUUAUUGAUGAUGUCAAACUUUUUAUUGUGGUUGCAUCUAAUUUGAUUAAGUUGUUUGAGAAUGCAUUAGGAGAAUGUUACUGCAAAAGAAAUUCCUGGGUUGUGGUUUCUUCAUUCAUGAGUGUGCCUAGUUGUCAUUUGUUUGUCUCUUUGAAGCUUAAUUGGCUAUGUGCUCUAAGCAUACCUUGCAGGAUAGAAGGAAUUAAAGUUUCAAAAUUUCUAUGUCUGUGUGUUUGUUGGUUUUAUUCUGUGUGUUUGUUGGUUUUAUUUUGCAAGUUGGCUUUUAGAUUUCAUUCCCAUAGCUUCUGGUUAAUGUCUAAUUUUUUGUUGUAGUGCUUUUGAUUUGCUGGAGUUUGAUUUGAACUUCAAUUAAUAUUUGAUCUCUUAUGCUUUAACAUUCCAUUUAAAUUUUAGUUUUAUCUUUUGUGUACAGAUUGUAGUUUUGUAAACUUUUCUUAAUUGUGGUUGCAUUUAGUAGUCUAUACGGAAAUUAGUUGAUCGUGUACUUCGAACACGAUUUGCUAGAGAGAGGAAUUAGAGAUUGUACAGCAGUGUACUCCAAAUUUGUAUGGUUGAGUUUUUUAUUUUUUAUUUUUUUAUUUUGCUAGUUCAACUCUGUUGCAUGACAAAUUGUAAUCUUAGGUUUAAUUUCAAAAACUUAAUCCAGCCUCGCAUUGAGGAUGAGUGCUUACAAUGAAGAGUACCUCUUUUUUCUUGUGUUGUGUUUGAUUUUUCUUGUUUUGCUGAUUUCACUUUACUUUGUUGCAUGAUUGAUUACUUUCUUAAGAUUAAUUUCAUAAACUUAAAUCUAGUUAAGCAUUGAGAUGGAAGAUUGCCUCUUUCUUAUUGGAUUCUUUGAAAGUCUAUGAUCUUGCAUAGAAUUUUUGUUGUAUUGUAUGGUAACUUUCGAUGAUAAUUGUACUUGUUUUAGUACAUUUCAGAUCAUGAAGAGUUUGAUUAAAGUUGCUAAAAUUCUGUGUUUCUGAUUAUAAUAUAGACUUUGUUUUCUUAAGUAACACUGUUAUUAUUGGAAGCAUCCUGACUUAUGAUGUGGUUGGUGGCUGUUGUUUUUUAACUUUGGUAUAUAAUUGUUGUAUAUUUAUGUUGAGAUGCAAAACUACCUCUUAUCUUUGGCCUUUCAUUAUAAUCUUUUUUUGUUAAGGUUUUGUUGCUUUAGUUUUAAUUUCUCUUUAGGUUUUUAAAGGCCUUUUACUUUCGUAUCUUUGGGUUUUCGAGUUAAAACAUUUAUAAUAUCUGAUUUGUGAGCAAUGGAUGUUAUUAGGUUUAUUUUGCAGGCAAUCUUUGCCUUGAAUCUUUCUGCUUGAGCAAUGAAGUUCAAGUUUGAUUGUCUUUAUUUCUAAAAUAGCAUUGUUCUUUAUACAUGUGGCAUGUUGCUUGUGUUUAACUUAAAUGCAGCAUUGUUCUUUAUAUAUGUGGCAUGUUGUUUAUGUUUAACUUAAAUGCAUAUCACCUUAUUAUUAAGCAUUGUUGAAUGAGACUUUGACUUCAUUAAAAAUGGAAGGUGUUAUGUGUAUGUAUACUAAUUAGAUAUCUAAUUAAGAUUCUCUUGUAUUUUAUCUUGAAAUUUAUUUUUAUUUAUCGUGUAAUUUAUGUAAUUAACAAAAUUAUAUUAUAUAAUAUUUAUUUUUUAUUUAAUACAAUUUCGAUUAUUUUUUUUAUUGCUUAUUAUUUUAUUUAUUAUUUUGGAUUGUAUAAUAUUUAUCUUUUAUUAAGAGAUAAUAAUUAUUUUAUUUAAUAUAUAUUUUUUUUAUUUUUGAUUUUCUUAUUUUUUAUAUUUUUAUUGUAUUUUUGUUAAUCUUUUUUGUUUUUCAUUAACUUUUUUCUUUUAAAAUUUUUUUUUACUUAUUUUUUUAUGUGUUUUCAUUUUUUUUUGUUUUCACUUUUUUCUUUGUUUUAAAAUUUUUUACAAAACUUUUCUUUUUAUUUUAUUUCAUAUUUUCGCCUCUUCAUUUUUUAUUUUUUCUUGUUUUUCUAAUUUUUUUGACAGUUUUUUUUAUUUCUUGUUUCCAUUUUUUUUUACACUUCCUUGAAUUUUUUAUUUUUCAUAAAUCUUUUCUUUUUAUUUUUAUUCUUUUCUUAAUUUUUUUACAAAUUUUUUUUUUAUUUCUUAUUUUCAUUUUUAAAUUCUUAUAAUUUUUUUUGUUGCAUUUUCUUCUUUUGUUUUCAUUUUUAUUUGGCAUUAACUUUUCUCUUAUUUAUUUUUUUGUCUUUGAUUUUUUAUAUUAUUUUUAUAUUAUUUUUUUAUAUGUUUUUUAAUUUUUUUAAUUUUUUUAAUUUUUCCAUUUCAUUUCAUUUUUGUAUUUUUGUAUUUUUGAUUUUCUUAUAUUUUUAUCGCAUUUUUCUUUAUUUUAUAUUUUAUAUUUUAUAUAUUUUUUUUAUUUAUCUUUUUUGUUUUGCUUUAAUAUUUUUUUUCUUAUUUUAUUUUUAUUUUUAUUUGUUAUUUCUUUCUUUAUUUAUAUUUUCAUAAAUUUUUAUCAUGUUUUUUAUUUUUUUUAUCUUUCUAUUUUUUUUUAUUUAUCAUUAUUGGUUAUUUUUCGUUUUAUUUUUAUAAUUUUUCAUUAACUCUUUUUCCUUUUUCCUUUUAAAUUUUUCAUUUUUUUACUUAUCUUUUCAUGUGUUUUAUAUAUUUUUUUGUUUUCACAUUUUUCUUUGUUUUAAAAAUUUCUACAAAACUGUUUUAUCUUUUUAUUUUAUUUCAUAUUUUUGCCUUUUCAUUUUUUAUUUUUUCUUGUUUUUCUAAUUUUUUUCACAAAAUUCUUUUUAUUUCUUGUUUUCAUUUUUUUUAUACUUCUUUGGAUUUUUUUUCUCAUAAAUCUUGUCUUUUCAUUUUUAUUCUUUUCUUUUUUAUCUAACAAAUUUCUUUUUAUUUCUUAUAUUCAUUUUUAAAUUCUUAUAGUUUUUUUAUUUCAUUUUCUUCUUUUGUUUUAAUUUUUAUUUUGCAUUAACUUUUCUCAUUUUUAAUUUUUUGUCUUUGAUUUUUUAUAUUGUUUUCUUAUUAUUUCUUAUGUUUUUCAUUUUUUUUGUAUUUUUUUCUAUUUUCUCAUUUCAUUUCAUUUUAUUUUUUAUUUUUGAUUUUCUUACUUCUUAUAUUUUUUAUUGCAUUUUUGUUUAUUUUAUAUUUUAUAUUUUAUUGUAUUUUAUCUAUCUUUUUUGCUUUGCUUUAAUAUUUUUUUUCUUAUUUUAUUUUUAUUUUUUAUUUUGGUUUAUUUUUAUUUUCUUUCUUUAUUUAUAUUUUCAUAAAUUUUUAACAUGUUUUUUAUUUAUUUAUUUUUCUAUCUUUUUUUUUUUUUUUUUAUCGUUGGUUAUUUUCAAUUUUAUUUUUAUAAUUUUUCAUUAACUCUUUUUCUUUUUUUCUUUUAAAUUUUUUAUUUUUUUACUUAUCUUUUAAUGUGCUUUCAUAUAUUUUUUUUGUUUUCACAUUUUUCUUUGUUUUAAAAAUUUCUACAAAACUUUUUUAUCUUUUUAUUUUGUUUCAUAUUUUUGUCUAUUCAUUUUUUAUUUUUUCUUGUUUCAUAUAUUUUUGCUUUUUUAUUUUUUAUUUUUUCUUGGUUUUUUAAUAAUUUUCACAAAAUUCUUUUUAUUUCUUGUUUCUAUUUUUUUUUAUACUUCCUAGGAUUUUUUUUUUCAUAAAUCUUGUCUUUUCAUUUUUAUUCUUUUCUUAAUUCUUUUACAAAUUUCUUUUUAUUUCAUAUUUUCAUUUUUAAAUAAAUAAUAGUUUUUUUUUGUUGCAUUUUCUUCUUUUGUUUUCAUUUUUAGUUUUUUGGCUUAGAUUUUUUAUAUUGUUUUCUUAUUAUUUUUUAUAUGUUUUUCCAUUUUUUUUAUUUUUUUUCUAUUUUUUCAUUUCAUUUCAUUUGUCUUUUUUAAUUUUUAAUUUUUGAUUUUCUUACUUAUAUUUUUUAUCGCAUUUUUGUUUGUUUUAUAUUUUAUAUUUUUUGUAUUUUAUUUAUAUUUUUUGUUUUGCUUUAAUAUUUCUUUCUUAUUUUAUUUUUAAUUUUAAUCUCUUUCUUUAUUUAUAUUUUCAUAAAUUUUUAUCAUGUUUUUAAUUUUUUUAUUUUUCUAUCUUUUUUUUUUAUUUAUCGUUGUUGGUUAUUUUUUGUUUUAUUUUUGUAAUUUUUCAUUAACUCUUUUUCCUUUUUCUUUUAAAUUUUUCACUUUUUUACUUAUCUUUUCAUGUGCUUUCAUAUUUUUUUUUUUGUUUUCACAUUUUUCUUUGUUUUAAAAAUUUCUAUAAAACUAUUUUAUCUUUUUAUUUUGUUUCAUAUUUUUGCCUUUUCAUUUUUUCUUUUUUCUUGUGUUUCUAAUUUUUUUCACAAAAUUCUUUUUAUUUCUUGUUUCCAUUAUUUUUAUACUUCUUAGGAUUUUUUUUUCAUAAAUUUUGUCUUUUCAUUUUUAUUCUUUUCUUAAUUCUUUUACAAAUUUCUUUUUAUUUCUUGUUUUCAUUUUUAAAUUCUUAUAGUUUUUUUUUGUUGCAUUUUCUUCUUUUGUUUUCAUUUUUAAUUUUUUGGCUUUGAUUUUUUAUAUUGUUUUCUUAUUAUUUUUUAUAUGUUUUUCAAUUUUUUGUAUUUUUUUAUAUUUUCUCAUUUCAUUUCAUUCUUUCUUUUUUUAUUUUUUAUUUUUGAUUUUCUUACUUCUUAUAUUUUUUAUCGUAUUUUUGUUUAUUUUAUAUUUUAUAUUUUUUUGUAUUUUAUUUAUCUUUUUUGUUUUACUUUAAUAUUUUUUUCUUAUUUUAUUUUUGUUUUUUUUCUUUUUUUAUUUAUAUUUUAAUAAAUUUUUAUCAUGUUUUUUUUAAUUUUUCUAUCUUUUUUUUUUAUUUAUCGUUGUUGGUUAUUUUUUCUUUUAUUUUUAUAAUUUUUCAUUAACUCUUUCUUCUUUUUCCUUUUAAAUUUUUCAUUUUUUUACUUAUCUUUUCAUGUGCUUUCAUAUUUUUUUUUGUUUCCACAUUUUUCUUUGUUUUAAAAAUAUCUACAAAACUUUUUUUUCUUUUUAUUUUGUUUCAUAUUUUUGCCUCUUCAUUUUUUAUUUUUCUUGUUUUUUUAAUUUUUUUCACAAAAUUCUUUUUAUUUCUUGUUUCCAUAUUUUUUAUACUUCUUUGGAUUUUUUUUUCAUAAAUCUUUUCAUUUUUAUUCUUCUCUUAAUUCUUUACAAAUUUUUUUUUAUUUCUUAUUUUCAUUUUUAAAUUCUUAUAGUUUUUUGUUGUUGCAUUUUCUUCUUUUGUUUUCAUUUUUAAUUUGUAUUAACUUUUCUCAUUUUUAAUUUUUUGUCUUUGAUUUUUUAUAUUGUUUUUUUAUUAUUUUUUGUAUGUUUUUCAAUUUUUUGUUUUUUUUUUGUAUGUUUUUCAUUUCAUUUCAUUUUUCUCUUUUUUUUUUAUUUUUGAUUUUCUUACUUCUUAUAUUUUUUAUCGCAUUUUUAUUUAUUUUAUAUUAUAUAUAUUUUUUGUAUUUUAUUUAUCUUUUUUGUUUUGCUUUAAUAUUUUUUUCUUAUUUUAUUUUUAUUUUCAUAAAUUUUUAUCAUGUUUUUUAUUUUUUAUUUUUAUUUAUCGUUGUUGGUUAUUUUUUGUUUUAUUUUUAUAAUUUUUCAUUAACUCUUUUUCCCUUUUCAUUUUUUUACUUAUCUUUUCAUGUGCUUUCAUAUUUUUUUUUGCUUUCACAUUUUUCUUUGUUUUAAAAAUUUCUAGAAAACUUUUUCAUCUUUUUAUUUAAUUUCAUAUUUUUGUCUCUUCAUUUUUUAUUUUUUCUUGUUUUUCUAAUUUUUUUCACAAAAUUCUUUUUAUUUCUUGUUUCCAUUUUUUUUUAUACUUGGCUUUUUUUUUCAUAAAUCUUUUCAUUUUUAUUCUUUUCCUAAUUCUUUUACAAAUUUCUUUUUAUUUCUUAUUUUCAUUUUUAAAUUCUUAUAGUUUUUUGUUGUUGCAUUUUCUUCUUUUGUUUUCAUUUUUAAUUUGCAUUAACUUUUCUCAUUUUUAAUUUUUUGUCUUUGAUUUUUUAUAUUGUUUUUUUAUUAUUUUUUGUAUGUUUUUCAAUUUUUUGUUUUUUUUUUGUAUUUUUUCAUUUCAUUUCAUUUUUCUCUUUUUUUUUUUAUUUUUGAUUUUCUUACUUCUUAUAUUUUUUAUCGCAUUUUUGUUUAUUUUAUAUUUUAUAUUUUUUUGUAUUUUAUUUAUCUUUUUUGUUUUGCUUUAAUAUUUUUUUCUUAUUUUAUUUUUAUUUUCACAAAAUUCUUUUUAUUUCUUGUUUCCAUUUUUUUUUAUACUUCGAUUUUUUUUUCAUAAAUCUUUUCAUUUUUAUUCUUUUCCUAAUUCUUUUACAAAUUUCUUGUUAUUUCUUAUUUUCAUUUUUAAAUUCUUAUAGUUGGUUGGUGGCUGUAGGGUGGCUGGUCGGGAGGCUGGUCGGGAGCUGGCGACAGCGGUGCCAUACCAACUCCCUGAUUUCUGUCUUAUUCUGUUUCUUUUGUUUGUUUUUUUUUUGUUUUGUUUAUUAAUAAAUUUUUUAUUAAAAAUAUUAUUAUUAUUAUUAAAACAAUAGACCCGGACAAAAUCGAUGUCUACAAUACUAGUCAUUUUGAUAUGCACAAUGAUUUUAAGUUCGUUAUGAACUUUAUGAUUUUUUCAAAUAAUGUUAAUCAAUCUGUUUUUCAAUUUCAUUUGUAUAGGAAUACAAAAGAGAGUUUUAGAGUUCAAAUAAGAGGCUGUUGUUGAUUCAUUUGUUGUUGAUUCAUUUGUUGAUCUAAUUGAUAUGUAUGUGAUUAAAUUAGUAUUAUGUAUCAGAAUGCUAUGUAAGACAAUCCUUGUGCCCUGUCUCUUUGUUUUAUAUACCUGAUGGACCAAAUACAUAAUAUAUAGGAAAAUGUACCAUUAACGAAUUUUCAACUGUGGAUACAUGUCUAUCCUUACCAUACAGAAACAAAUGCUAUUAAUAAGCCAAUUAUGUUAUAUUAUAAAGCAGUUUUUUUUUUUUUUUUGUGGCUUUACACAUACCUUAGUUGCAAUAACUCCUCUUGCCCUGGUAGGAGGUCUGAAGUUCAAAUGCUCUCCCACAAAUUAUUAACUAUUAAAAGAAGAUGCAAAUAUUUGGAUCUGCUUAAAAAAUUUGUGUUCAAAU